Long non-coding RNA from Oncorhynchus keta (chum salmon), 1125 nucleotides. RefSeq lists it as uncharacterized. Lineage: Eukaryota; Metazoa; Chordata; Actinopteri; Salmoniformes; Salmonidae. The record is from RefSeq and is a predicted model, not a curated record. The transcript is spliced from 3 exons.
CCAGAUAAGACAUGUACCUUAGUCUGCACAACCGGAGAGAAUGUGUGUGUGUUCUUACCCAGUGGGUCAGGUAUGAGGUGUGUGUGUUCUUACCCAGUGGGUCAGGUAUGAGGUGUGUGUGUGUGUUCUUACCCAGUGGGUCAGGUAUGAGGUGUGUGUGUGUGUUCUUACCCAGUGGGUCAGGUAUGAGGUGUGUGUGUUCUUACCCAGUGGGCCAGGUAUGAGGUGUGUGUGUGUGUUCUUACCCAAUGGGUCAGGUAUGAGGUGUGUGUGUUCUUACCCAGUGGGUCAGGUAUGAGGUGUGUGUGUGUGUGUGUUCUUACCCAAUGGGUCAGGUAUGAGGUGUGUGUGUGUGUGUUCUUAUCCAGUGGGUCAGGUAUGAGGUGUGUGUGUAUGUGUUCUUAUCCAGUGGGUCAGGUAUGAGGGUGUGUGUGUGUGUGUGUGUGUGUGUGUGUGUGUGUGUGUGUGUGUUCUUAUCCAGUGGGUCAGGUAUGAGGUGUGUGUGUGUGUUCUUAUCCAGUGGGUCAGGUAUGAGGUGUGUGUGUGUGUGUUCUUAUCCAGUGGGUCAUGUAUGAGGUGUGUGUGUUCUUACCCAGUGGGUCAGGUAUGAGGUGUGUGUGUGUGUUCUUAUCCAGUGGGUCAGGUAUGAGGUGUGUGUGUGUGUGUUCUUAUCCAGUGGGUCAGGUAUGAGGUGUGUGUGUGUGUUCUUAUCCAGUGGGUCAGGUAUGAGGUGUGUGUGUGUGUGUUCUUAUCCAGUGGGUCAGGUAUGAGGUGUGUGUGUGUGUUCUUAUCCAGUGGGUCAGGUAUGAGGUGUGUGUGUGUGUGUUCUUAUCCAGUGGGUCAGGUAUGAGGUGUGUGUGUGUGUUCUUAUCCAGUGGGUCAGGUAUGAGGUGUGUGUGUGUGUUCUUAUCCAGUGGGUCAGGUAUGAGGUGUGUGUGUGUGUGUUCUUAUCCAGUGGGUCAGGUAUGAGGUGUGUGUGUGUGUUCUUAUCCAGUGGGUCAGGUAUGAGGUGUGUGUGUGUGUUCUUAUCCAGUGGGUCAGGUAUGAGGUGUUUGUGUGUGUGUGUGUGUUCUUACCCAGUGGGUCAGGUAUGAGGUGUGUGUGUGUGUGCUCUUAUCCAGUGGG